Molecule: small RNA, 75 nt
Filed under: Klebsiella pasteurii
Lineage: Bacteria; Pseudomonadati; Pseudomonadota; Gammaproteobacteria; Enterobacterales; Enterobacteriaceae
Description: partial RtT sRNA
Rfam family: RtT RNA
About the family: This family represents a bacterial cis-regulatory element known as RtT RNA. The exact function of RtT is unknown although it is thought that it may be involved in changing the cellular response in relation to amino acid starvation.
Source: RNAcentral
UAUUCAUCCCAUGCGGGAAGGAUGAGAAGCUUCGACUAAGGUUCGAUUCGAGCGAAGCGAGAAAGCGUUGCCGCA